GGCUCUUUCAGAGUCCGAGUUGUAAUUUGAAGAAGGUAUCUUUGGGUCUGGCUCUUGUCUAUGUUUCUUGGAACAGAACGUCACAGAGGGUGAGAAUCCCGUGCGAUGAGAUGAUCCAGGCCUAUGUAAAGUUCCUUCGAAGAGUCGAGUUGUUUGGGAAUGCAGCUCUAAGUGGGUGGUAAAUUCCAUCUAAAGCUAAAUAUUGGCGAGAGACCGAUAGCGAACAAGUACAGUGAUGGAAAGAUGAAAAGAACUUUGAAAAGAGAGUGAAAAAGUACGUGAAAUUGUUGAAAGGGAAGGGCUUGAGAUCAGACUUGGUAUUUUGUAUGUUACUUCUUCGGGGGUGGCCUCUACAGUUUAUCGGGCCAGCAUCAGUUUGGGCGGUAGGAGAAUUGCGUUGGAAUGUGGCACGGCUUCGGUUGUGUGUUAUAGCCUUCGUCGAUACUGCCAGCCUAGACUGAGGAC
Molecule: ribosomal RNA, 465 nt
Filed under: [Candida] sp.
Lineage: Eukaryota; Fungi; Ascomycota; Saccharomycetes; Saccharomycetales
Description: partial large subunit ribosomal RNA
Rfam family: Eukaryotic large subunit ribosomal RNA
Source: RNAcentral